Molecule: long non-coding RNA, 229 nt
Filed under: Salvia miltiorrhiza (redroot sage)
Lineage: Eukaryota; Viridiplantae; Streptophyta; Magnoliopsida; Lamiales; Lamiaceae
Description: long non-coding RNA (SMIL_LNC003479)
Source: RNAcentral
UUCCUCAGUCUUGGGCUUCUCUAGAGACUAUCCAUCAACUGUGACGAGGCAUCAAGCCAUUGUUAUCAAACGAGGAAGGUAACUUCUGCGCCGUAGCAUGUCUAUGACUGGUCGGCUAACAAGCCAGAAAUGGUUGUGUCCAGGAGGCAUGUGUCACUCAAAGUGCAGAGUUGGGGACCUCGGGAGAGAAGGUUGGUGAGGGUCAUACUUGGUGAGUAACGGGUAUGAC